RNAcentral lists this ribosomal RNA (143 nucleotides) under Exosporium sp. RNAcentral describes it as "partial large subunit ribosomal RNA". Lineage: Eukaryota; Fungi; Ascomycota; Dothideomycetes. The record is from RNAcentral.
CAGGCCAGCAUCAGUCCGGGCGGUUGGACAAAGGCCUAUUAAACGUACCUCCUCGGGGAGGACUUAUAGGGUAGGUGCCAUGCAACCAGCCUGGAUUGAGGUCCGCGCAUCUGCUAGGAUGCUGGCGUAAUGGCUGUAAGCGG